RNAcentral lists this ribosomal RNA (24 nucleotides) under Phytophthora medicaginis x Phytophthora cryptogea. Its description in RNAcentral is "partial 28S ribosomal RNA". Lineage: Eukaryota; Oomycota; Peronosporomycetes; Peronosporales; Peronosporaceae. The record is from RNAcentral.
AAUUGGACCUGAUAUCAGGCAAGA